RNAcentral lists this ribosomal RNA (253 nucleotides) under uncultured bacterium. RNAcentral describes it as "partial 16S ribosomal RNA". It matches the Rfam family "Bacterial small subunit ribosomal RNA", at positions 524 to 776 of the family's 1533-position model. The record is from RNAcentral.
UACGUAGGGUACAAGCGUUAAUCGGAAUUACUGGGCGUAAAGCGUGCGCAGGCGGUGAUGUAAGACAGAUGUGAAAUCCCCGGGCUUAACCUGGGAAUUGCGCUCGAAACUACGGAGCUGGAGUAUGGCAGAGGGAGGUGGAAUUCCACGUGUAGCGGUGAAAUGCGUAGAGAUGUGGAGGAACACCAAUGGCGAAGGCAGCCUCCUGGGCCAAUACUGACACUCAUGCACGAAAGCGUGGGGAGCAAACAGG